GGAAGGACAUCUCCGUGGACAGGGACAGUCCAUGCGUGAUGGAGGACAACUCCGUGGACAGGGACAGCCCAUGCGUGAUGGAAGGACAUCUCCGUGGACGGGGACAGCCCGUGCGUGAUGGAAGGACAUCUCCGUGGACGGGGACAGCCCAUGCGUGGAUGGAAGGACAUCUCCGUGGACGGGGACAGCCUGUGCGUGGAUGGAAGGACAUCUCCGUGGACGGGGACAGCCCAUGCAUGGAUGGAAGGACAUCUCCGUGGACGGGGACAGCCCAUGCAUGGAUGGAAGGACAUCUCCGUGGACGGGGACAGCCCAUGCGUGGAUGGAAGGACAUCUCCGUGGACGGGGACAGCCCAUGCGUGGAUGGAAGGACAUCUCCGUGGACGGGGACAGCCCAUACGUGGAUGGAAGGACAUCUCCGUGGACGGGGACAGCCCAUGCGUGGAUGGAAGGACAUCUCCGUGGACGGGGACAGCCCGUGCGUGAUGGAAGGACAUCUCCGUGGACGGGGACAGCCCGUGCGUGGAUGGAAGGACAUCUCCGUGGACGGGGACAGCCC
RNAcentral lists this long non-coding RNA (559 nucleotides) under Pan troglodytes (chimpanzee). RNAcentral's name for it is "long non-coding RNA NONPTRT007630". Lineage: Eukaryota; Metazoa; Chordata; Mammalia; Primates; Hominidae. The record is from RNAcentral.